Molecule: long non-coding RNA, 681 nt
Organism: Paramormyrops kingsleyae
Lineage: Eukaryota; Metazoa; Chordata; Actinopteri; Osteoglossiformes; Mormyridae
Source: RefSeq, a predicted model, not a curated record
CGUGACUCAAGGACAGGAACAGUACAGCGAACCUAGAAAUGGAAGAGAUUUAUGUGGCACUCCAGUAGAGAAUGACCCUUCAGUGAUCCAUAGUACAAGUAGAAGACAGAGAAAGAAGCUGUGAUGUCAGAUGUGAUGUAGGGAUGGAAUGAUUUGCGCAAGGAUGCCAAACCUUCCAUGAGCUUCUGAGAAAACAGGGCAGUGACGUUAUCAUCUGCUUUCUAGUGCGGGCAAGUCUGAGGCAGUCGGUGAUGUCUGGCGUGUUUUAGCAUCAAGCUGCUAACCAAGUAUACAUAGUUCAUAGAAACAUAUUGGUAAUUGUAGCAGAAAAAACAUCUUCCACGGAGUUUGACUUUGAAACAGGUUUAAAAUGAUAAAUUCCCUUGUUUUACUAUCUUGGAUAUUAUUCUUCAUAAAAAAAAGUAUGGAUGGGGAGAAUGCCUGCAGAUAGUAUCAGAAGUAUUUAAUGAUAGAUUGGCAUAAAACAUUUGUGUUUUAUUUAUACAUGUAUUUAUUUGAGACUGGGUGCAAAACAGGUGAGUGAGCUACUACACUGUAUGUGUACAUCCACUCAUCCAUCCAUCCAUCCAACCUCCAAUCGCGAGGGGCUAGGAGCCUAUUCCAGGCGGCUUAGGGCCCGCAGCAGGGGUGCACCCAGGAUGAAAGUCCAUUGCAGGGCAC